GAUGAACGCUGGCGGCGUGCCUAAUACAUGCCAGUCGAGCGAACAGACGAGGAGCUUGCUACUCUGACGUUAGCGGCGGACGGGUGAGUAACACGUGGAUAACCUACCUAUAAGACUGGGAUAACUUCGGGAAACCGGAGCUAAUACCGGAUAAUAUCUUGAACCGCAUGGUUCAAAAGUGAAAGACGGUUUUGCUGUCACUUAUAGAUGGAUCCGCGCUGCAUUAGCUAGUUGGUAAGGUAACGGCUUACCAAGGCAACGAUGCAUAGCCGAGCUGAGAGGGUGAUCGGCCACACUGGAACUGAGACACGGUCCAGACUCCUACGGGAGGCAGCAGUAGGGAAUCUUCCGCAAUGGGCGAAAGCCUGACGGAGCAACGCCGCGUGAGUGAUGAAGGUCUUCGGAUCGUAAAACUCUGUUAUUAGGGAAGAACAGAUGUGUAAGUAACUGUGCACAGCUUGACGGUACCUAAUCAGAAAGCCACGGCUAACUACGUG
This 497-nucleotide ribosomal RNA is filed under the name uncultured bacterium. Its description in RNAcentral is "partial 16S ribosomal RNA". It matches the Rfam family "Bacterial small subunit ribosomal RNA", at positions 28 to 507 of the family's 1533-position model. The record is from RNAcentral.